This 519-nucleotide ribosomal RNA is filed under the name uncultured bacterium. Its description in RNAcentral is "partial 16S ribosomal RNA". It matches the Rfam family "Bacterial small subunit ribosomal RNA", at positions 28 to 507 of the family's 1533-position model. The record is from RNAcentral.
GACGAACGCUGGCGGCGUGCCUAAUACAUGCAAGUCGAGCGAGUCUGCCUUGAAGAUCGGAGUGCUUGCACUCUGUGAAACAAGAUACAGGCUAGCGGCGGACGGGUGAGUAACACGUGGGUAACCUGCCCAAGAGAUCGGGAUAACACCUGGAAACAGAUGCUAAUACCGGAUAACAACAGAUGAUGCCUAUCAACUGUUUAAAAGAUGGUUCUGCUAUCACUCUUGGAUGGACCUGCGGUGCAUUAGCUAGUUGGUAGGGUAACGGCCUACCAAGGCGAUGAUGCAUAGCCGAGUUGAGAGACUGAUCGGCCACAUUGGGACUGAGACACGGCCCAAACUCCUACGGGAGGCAGCAGUAGGGAAUCUUCCACAAUGGACGCAAGUCUGAUGGAGCAACGCCGCGUGAGUGAAGAAGGGUUUCGGCUCGUAAAGCUCUGUUGUUGGUGAAGAAGGACAGGGGUAGUAACUGACCUUUGUUUGACGGUAAUCAAUGAGAAAGUCACGGCUAACUACGUG